GCCGGGUGCAGUGGCGCGCGCCUGUAAUCCAAGCUGCUGGGAGGCUGAGGCUGGCGGAUCGCUUGAGUUCAGGGGUUCUGGGCUGCAGUGGACUAUGUCGAUCGGGUGUCCGCGCUAAGUUCGGUAUCGAUAUGGUGCUCCUGGGGGAGCUUGGGACCGCCAGGUCGUCUAAGGAGGGGUGAACCGGCCCAGGUCGGAGACGGAGCAGGUCAAAGCCCCCGUGCCGAUCAGUAGUGGGGUCGCACCUGUGAAUAGACACUGCAGUGCAGCCUGAGCAAUACAGUGAAACUCAGUCUUUU
Unclassified non-coding RNA from Cyprinus carpio carpio, 299 nucleotides. It matches the Rfam family "Metazoan signal recognition particle RNA". Rfam says of the family: The signal recognition particle (SRP) is a universally conserved ribonucleoprotein. It is involved in the co-translational targeting of proteins to membranes. The record is from Ensembl. Lineage: Eukaryota; Metazoa; Chordata; Actinopteri; Cypriniformes; Cyprinidae.